CCUACGGGUGGCAGCAGUCGAGAAUCAUUCACAAUGGGGGAAACCCUGAUGGUGCGACGCCGCGUGGGGGAAUGAAGGUCUUCGGAUUGUAAACCCCUGUCAUGUGGGAGCAAAUUAAAAAGAUAGUACCACAAAAGGCAGAGACGGCUAACUCUGUGCCAGCAGCCGCGGUAAUACAGAGGUCUCAAGCGUUGUUCGGAAUCACUGGGGGGAAAGCGUGCGUAGGCUGUUUCGUAAGUCGUGUGUGAAAGGCGCGGGCUCAACCCGCGGACGGCACAUGAUACUGCGGGACUAGAGUAAUGGAGGGGGAACCGGAAUUCUCGGUGUAGCAGUGAAAUGCGUAGAUAUCGAGAGGAACACUCGUGGCGAAGGCGGGUUCCUGGACAUUAACUGACGCUGAGGCACGAAGGCCAGGGGAGCGAAAGGGAUUAGAUACCCCAGUAGUC
This 446-nucleotide ribosomal RNA is filed under the name uncultured bacterium. RNAcentral describes it as "partial 16S ribosomal RNA". It matches the Rfam family "Bacterial small subunit ribosomal RNA", at positions 338 to 795 of the family's 1533-position model. The record is from RNAcentral.